UACGUAGGGGGCAAGCGUUGUCCGGAUUUAUUGGGCGUAAAGAGCGUGUAGGCGGUUCGGUAGGUCCGUUGUGAAAACUCGAGGCUCAACCUCGAGACGUCGGUGGAAACCGUUUGGCUAGAGUCCGGAAGAGGAGAGUGGAAUUCCCGGUGUAGCGGUGAAAUGCGCAGAUAUCGGGAAGAACACCCGUGGCGAAGGCGGCUCUCUGGGACGGUACUGACGCUGAGACGCGAAAGCGUGGGGAGCGAACAGG
RNAcentral lists this ribosomal RNA (253 nucleotides) under uncultured bacterium. Its description in RNAcentral is "partial 16S ribosomal RNA". It matches the Rfam family "Bacterial small subunit ribosomal RNA", at positions 524 to 776 of the family's 1533-position model. The record is from RNAcentral.